GACAGAGGAUGCAAGCGUUAUCCAGAAUGAUUAAGCGUAAAGCGUCUGUAGGUGGCUUUUUAAGUCCGCCGUUAAAUCCUAGGGCUCAACCCUGGACAGGCGGUGGAAACUACCAAGCUGGAGUACGGUAGGGGUAGAGGGAAUUUCCGGUGGAGCGGUGAAAUGCGUAGAGAUCGGAAAGAACACCAACGGCGAAAGCACUCUGCUGGGCCGACACUGACACUGAGAGACGAAAGCUAGGGGAGCGAAUGGG
This 253-nucleotide ribosomal RNA is filed under the name uncultured bacterium. RNAcentral's name for it is "partial 16S ribosomal RNA". It matches the Rfam family "Bacterial small subunit ribosomal RNA", at positions 524 to 776 of the family's 1533-position model. The record is from RNAcentral.